RNAcentral lists this unclassified non-coding RNA (1315 nucleotides) under Hevea brasiliensis (rubber tree). Lineage: Eukaryota; Viridiplantae; Streptophyta; Magnoliopsida; Malpighiales; Euphorbiaceae. The record is from RNAcentral.
AAAAAAUAGAAUAAUCGCAGGAUAAACUAGGAGGCUAGUUUCCACCUCCAUAAAUACAUAAAGCUACACAGAUAAUAUGGAAUUUCUAGUUAAAGCCUUUCUCACUGGAUAGGUAUGUAUGUUGUAAUUAAAACACUGAUUUAUGCAGCUACAUGAGGAUUCAGAAGUCCAAACUUCCACACUGUUUGCUUUGUAAACUUUGUGUUCCAUUAGCUUGUUUCGUAUUUGCAUUAUGUUCGCUAUUAAUCCCCCGACUCCGCCCAAUGCCUAAUUUGGGUAAACCACGAUUGAGGCCCUCAAGCAAGACACAUGCUUUGCACCAUUUCUGGCUGGAUAUGUAACCACAUCUUUCACAAGUGCCUUGUUCUGGCAUUUUUGUAGAGGUGGAGAUCCGAAAGUCUUCACCUGAUUUGAUAAUGUCAAGAAUGGCUCUUGGUCUCAUCCUUUCUAAAUGUUUAAUGAACUCACGAGCAAAGCCACGAUACGCAUUGGGGGAAUAAAUACAUUCUGUAGAGAAGUAGUCCAGCUUUUUAAAGUAUGCAUACAUGACAAUUUCCUUCUCAUAAGUGUAUUUGAAGGGCUUGCAUCUCGGUAUUGGCCCAUCUUCUCCAGUAAUUAUCGACGUGCAUCUACCCAAUCUUGCAAUAUCACCUCGUAAAAUAUUUAAAAGGACUGUUUCAGCAAUAUCAUCUGCAUUAUGUCCGGUAACGAGCUUGUCUACCUUUAGCAGUGCAGCACCUCGAUCAAGGGCCUGCCGACGGAAAACACCACAAAAUGUGCAGUUGUUCUUCAAGCCUAUCAAUUUCACUAUUUCAUCCAUCGUCCACCCAUACAAUUCACUGUAGGAAACUACUUUUAAAGGAAGUCCAUACUGUAUUUCAUUUCUUUUGACUGUUUCAAGGGAAUCAUCCCUGUAACCAGUUAUGCCUUCAUCCACUGAUAGUAAGAAGAGAUCCAAUCCAUAGUUGUGUCUACGGUUCAACUCUGACAUUACAUAUGCAAGCACCGUUGAAUCUUUUCCACCAGAAGCUCCAAUAGCUAUGCGUUCCCCAGGCUUGAAAAGCUGAUUAUCCACAAUAACCCUAUGAAUCUCAUCUUCAAACACUGUGUAAAAGCACUCCCUGCAUAUUUGUUCAAGGGUUUUAGGGCGUUUCAAGGCGGCGCGUUUUUCAUUACAGAGAGUACACAAGCGGCUCUUUGGCUUCGCCGUCUUCUCCAUCUUACACGCAAAAACUACAAAUCUGAUCUCUGGCCGUCGCCGGUGAAGAAUGAUACUAUUCAGUUUUGCUCGCUAUAUCAGUCGCCUCUUUAUGCA